RNAcentral lists this ribosomal RNA (496 nucleotides) under Lacticaseibacillus rhamnosus. Its description in RNAcentral is "bacterial SSU rRNA". It matches the Rfam family "Bacterial small subunit ribosomal RNA", at positions 53 to 513 of the family's 1533-position model. Lineage: Bacteria; Bacillati; Bacillota; Bacilli; Lactobacillales; Lactobacillaceae. The record is from RNAcentral.
ACAUGCAAGUCGAACGAGUUCUGAUUAUUGAAAGGUGCUUGCAUCUUGAUUUAAUUUUGAACGAGUGGCGGACGGGUGAGUAACACGUGGGUAACCUGCCCUUAAGUGGGGGAUAACAUUUGGAAACAGAUGCUAAUACCGCAUAAAUCCAAAAACCGCAUGGUUCUUGGCUGAAAGAUGGCGUAAGCUAUCGCUUUUGGAUGGACCCGCGGCGUAUUAGCUAGUUGGUGAGGUAACGGCUCACCAAGGCAAUGAUACGUAGCCGAACUGAGAGGUUGAUCGGCCACAUUGGGACUGAGACACGGCCCAAACUCCUACGGGAGGCAGCAGUAGGGAAUCUUCCACAAUGGACGCAAGUCUGAUGGAGCAACGCCGCGUGAGUGAAGAAGGCUUUCGGGUCGUAAAACUCUGUUGUUGGAGAAGAAUGGUCGGCAGAGUAACUGUUGUCGGCGUGACGGUAUCCAACCAGAAAGCCACGGCUAACUACGUGCCAGCA